GAAUGAAUCAGACUUUAAAGGACCACUUAACCAAAUUAGUCUUAGAGACUCAAUUGCCAUGGACCAAGUGUCUUCCUAUCACCCUGCUGAGAAUUCGAACUGCACCACUGAAAGAUAUUGGUCUUUCUCCUUAUGAGAUGCUCUACGGAUUGCCUUAUUUGAACUCUACUGCUGAUAUUCCUACCUUUGAAACAAAAGAUCAAUUUCUCAAAAAUUAUAUACUUGGUCUAUCUUCUACUUUCUCUUCUCUUAAAACUAAAGGUCUAUUGGCACAGGCGCCACCCUUGGAGUUCCCAGUGCAUCAACAUCAGCCUGGGGAUCACAUCCUCAUCAAAAGCUGGAAAGAGGAGAAGCUCGAGCCAGCCUGGGAAGGUCCCUACUUAGUGCUCCUAACUACUGAAACCAUAGUCCACACGGCAGAGAGAGGAUGGACUUAUCACACCCAAGUCAAGAAAGUGCCACCCCCUCCAGACUGUGCCAAAACUUUACAUAUAACAUCUGCACCAUUCUUGGAGGUGAGCUGUCCAGGAGAGGACCCAGCCAGAAUCAUCUGUGUGAGCUGUGGCAGGAUCGAGCUCUGCAAGUUUGUUGUGUGAAGCUACUGAGGUGCAGAACUGUGGGUUAGGCAGAGGGCCUCUCCUGAUUAAUAUUACUACAAUGAAAGCAGGAAGGCUUUGAGGGACUUCUGCAACACACGAGUCUAAAUUUAGUUUAAUUCUGCAUAAUGAUGGCUUAUUCCUUUUUGCUUUUAUCUUCUGAGUGCAUGGCAGAAGACCAUCUCCCAGUAAUGCUGCUGAUUCAGAUCCUUGAGCUGUGUGUUCCCACCACUGAGAGGAGAGACAAUACGGUGAAAAGAACACAGAUGCCUGUGCUGCCUUUCCAAAUUCUGCCCCCAAAGAAGCACUAUGAUGCUGGCAAUUCACUCACCCUCUCUCAACGAUUUCAGUUUCUCCAUCUGUACAAGGAAGCUGAGAUCCCUGCUUCAAGUGCGGUGCUGUGCCAAUCUCUUCACAUGUGUUAACACACUUCGUUCCACAUCAACCCUUAGGGAGAUCCUAUUCUUGUGCCCAUUUUAUGGAUAAGGAGACUGAGCUUCACAGAUGUUAAGUAGUUUCCCCAAGGUCAGAAAACUCAUAAGUGGAAGUCAUAGGGGACCUCUUCUCCAAGAAAGGCCUUCUUGGGGCCUCUUAUUUUGCACAGUGCCACCAUUUCAAUUGGCAAAGAAAACUCUCAGCGCUCAAAGGGCACACUAUUGACCUACUUGCCAUCCAGCCCCUAUGGAAAGCUUGACUCAGCAGGGGCAAACCUGAGCAGGAGCUCCAGCUCAUUGCACAGUAGACACCUGGGUCACAAAUCUGGGUUAGGGCUAAGAUUUUGCUUGAUGACCAAAGAGUCAUCUAUCAGCUCUUCACACUUCCUGAUUUUUAAAAAUCUUUUUUCUUUACUUGCCCAAGUACUACGUGUUCAGUUUCAUGUAUCACUGUCCUUUUUUUUUUUUUCUGUGUGAAUAAAACUGAAGUUUUGGGGUCCCUGACCUGUAGUAUAAA
Molecule: long non-coding RNA, 1547 nt
Organism: Homo sapiens (human)
Lineage: Eukaryota; Metazoa; Chordata; Mammalia; Primates; Hominidae
Exons: 2
Source: RefSeq, a predicted model, not a curated record